GGAGGGCUGUCCGAGCGGUCGAUGGUGGUUGACUUGAAAUCAACUGGGCGCAAGCCCCAGGGGUUCGAAUCCUCUGCCCUCCGCCA
This 86-nucleotide transfer RNA is filed under the name Aminivibrio sp. Its description in RNAcentral is "tRNA-Ser". It matches the Rfam family "tRNA". Rfam says of the family: Transfer RNA (tRNA) molecules are approximately 80 nucleotides in length. The record is from RNAcentral. Lineage: Bacteria; Thermotogati; Synergistota; Synergistia; Synergistales; Aminobacteriaceae. RNAcentral also lists the same sequence under 2 other names.